RNAcentral lists this ribosomal RNA (253 nucleotides) under uncultured bacterium. Its description in RNAcentral is "partial 16S ribosomal RNA". It matches the Rfam family "Bacterial small subunit ribosomal RNA", at positions 524 to 776 of the family's 1533-position model. The record is from RNAcentral.
UACGAAGGGGGCUAGCGUUGCUCGGAAUCACUGGGCGUAAAGCGCACGUAGGCGGGUCCUUAAGUCAGGGGCGAAAUCCCGGAGCUCAACUCCGGAACUGCCUUUGAUACUGGGGAUCUUGAGUCCGGAAGAGGUGAGUGGAACUCCGAGUGUAGAGGUGAAAUUCGUAGAUAUUCGGAAGAACACCAGUGGCGAAGGCGGCUCACUGGUCCGGUACUGACGCUGAGGUGCGAAAGCGUGGGGAGCAAACAGG